Molecule: ribosomal RNA, 465 nt
Filed under: uncultured bacterium
Lineage: Bacteria
Description: partial 16S ribosomal RNA
Rfam family: Bacterial small subunit ribosomal RNA
Source: RNAcentral
GACGAACGCUGGCGGCGUGCUUAACACAUGCAAGUCGAACGGAAAGGCCCUGCUUGCAGGGUACUCGAGUGGCGAACGGGUGAGUAACACGUGGGUGAUCUGCCCUGCACUUCGGGAUAAGCCUGGGAAACUGGGUCUAAUACCGGAUAGGAGCCAUUUUUAGUGUGAUGGUUGGAAAGUUUUUUCGGUGUAGGAUGAGCUCGCGGCCUAUCAGCUUGUUGGUGGGGUAAUGGCCUACCAAGGCGGCGACGGGUAGCCGGCCUGAGAGGGUGGACGGCCACAUUGGGACUGGGAUACGGCCCAGACUCCCACGGGAGGCGGCAGUGGGGAAAAUUGCACAAAGGGCGCAAGCCUGAUUCAGCGACGCCGCGUGGGGGAUGACGGCCUUCGGGUUGUAAACUCCUUUCGCUAGGGACGAAGCUUUUUGUGACGGUACCGAGAUAAGAAGCACCGGCUAACUACGUG